Non-coding RNA from Sturnus vulgaris (Common starling), 1420 nucleotides. The record is from RefSeq and is a predicted model, not a curated record. NCBI's taxonomy places the organism in Eukaryota, Metazoa, Chordata, Aves, Passeriformes, Sturnidae.
AUGUGCUUGCUUUUGAGAAACCCAGUAGUCUUCAGAUUAGCACUAGGAAUAAUUACCGUGUUUAUUUUGUGUUUACCUGAAUUUUUCAAAAUCCAUGAAGCUAACACUGUAAUAGUGUCAUGCAUGGAUACCUGCUCAUCAAGUAACACCACUUUUCCACUUUGUACUUUUAACAAUUCUUACAAAACAUCAGUGCAACAAGGAAGAGAAAACCAGACUACUUUGCUGAAGGUCAUUGUAAAUAAUUUCAAUUCCCAAAAUAUUCCAUGUAUUCGCCAGUUGUCCUGGAGGGAAAAACAGUCCUACCCUAAACAGACAGAGUGUGAAUCCAAGAGGGAUGUGAAUGUUGAUCAUCAAGGAUCAGGGUCAACACCUACAAAAACAAAAGGCUCGCUUGAAGUGAAAACAGAAAAUGUUACUUAUUUUUAUAAAUAUUUUAAUUUCACAACGGUUUCCAAGAAAGAAGUGGAGCAUAAUACGAACUACUUGAUGGAAAUCCACAUCAACAAUUCUAUAGUCAGAGGACGAAAUGCAGCCGACGAACAGCUAAAUCAUUCUUGUCUCUUGGCAAUGAUGGAAGACCAAAAUGACUGUAUAAAUAUUUCACUGCAGCUGAAGUCUUCCAAGGAAUAUCCGAUGUGUAUGAUGAAGAUCACUUGGCUCACUAUGAUUCCAGUGGUUUUUUUAUUUGUUGUUUCUGUUGUCAUCUACAAAAUAGUCCAAGAAAAUAAAAAGAACUGUAAGUAAUGAAAAGUUAAUCUGCAUGAAUUUAAACUUCUAUAAACGUAAAAAUAUAUUAAUUUAUAGCAACAAAACUGUUAAUUAUUACUGUAGCUCAGACACUGAUAUUUUGAUUGUCAAAUGAUGAAAGCUUCUUAGAGACUGAUCAAAGUACUCAGAUGAUGACAGUAUCACCUCUUACCUCUUUGGUGGAUGCAAAAAUUGUGGAUGCAAAUCCAAGUUAAAUGUGGGGUUUUUGAUAGGUGAUUGGUGGCUUAGUGAUAUGAACUUCUGGUUUCACACUGAUUUCAGUAGAUGGAACAAUUACUGUUAAACUUUGUGGAAGGUUUUAAGCAGAAAUGCCAAUGAUCAGUAUAAGUGAAUUGAAAUAUCCUUUCCUUCCUGAAGAUGAUUUAUUUAGGUGACAGUCAGGAAAAAUUACAGGAUAGAUAUGAGGUGAUAUGCACUCAUCUAUCUGUCCUAAAAACUGGCUAUUCAAAUUCAUUGGUGGUGUAAUCCCAUGCAGGGCAACCAAGGUAUGCCUUCUUAAGCCCAGAGCUGAAUUAAGCCCAGAUAACAUUUAAUCUCUAUGCUAUUAUUUCAGCAAAGAAAACAUUUCUGUGAUUUCUGAACCAUCACUAUUGACUAUUCCAAGUGAUUAGAAGUUUACUAUGAGAGAACUUGCUAUUAUUCUGAGACU